Molecule: RNase P RNA, 354 nt
Filed under: Acidobacteria bacterium RBG_16_68_9
Lineage: Bacteria; Pseudomonadati; Acidobacteriota
Description: RNase P RNA component class A
Rfam family: Bacterial RNase P class A
About the family: Ribonuclease P (RNase P) is a ubiquitous endoribonuclease, found in archaea, bacteria and eukarya as well as chloroplasts and mitochondria. Its best characterised activity is the generation of mature 5'-ends of tRNAs by cleaving the 5'-leader elements of precursor-tRNAs.
Source: RNAcentral
GGAGAGGAUCAGGCAGUCGCUCGUCCCGUUGUGUGACGGGAGGAAAGUCCGGACUCCGCAGGGCAGGGUGGCCGCUAACGGCGGCCCCGAGCGAUCGGGGGAAAGUACAACAGAAAGGAGACGGCCCCGGUUUUCCGGGGAGUCGGUGAAACGGAAGGCGUUCGCCUCCGACGGUGCUGGUGACGGCGCCGUCCGGUAAACCCCACCCGGAGCAAGACAAACUAGAGGGUUGCGUGGCCCGCGCGUCCCUCGGGUACGUCGCUUGAGCCGGCGGGCAACCGCCGGUCGAGAGGAAUGACUGCCAUCCUCGUCUCGGCGAGGGAACAGAAUCCGGCUUAUCGAUCCUCUCCGGUC